ACUGGAAUACGGUUAAAAGUGUCGUUAACCCCAACUCACUCACUCACUCACUUUCAAUAAAGUCAGUCUCAUUAGAAAAUGAUCCUGGUAUGCAUUAAAAAAUAACAAUAAAAAUUCUAAACAUCUCUAAGUAGCAAAAGGUACCAUUUGACAACCUGGUCUUUGUUUGUGUAAAUGUGGCCUAGUUGAUUUUAUUGCUAUUUUGUAAAUAUUUAAGUAAAGUCUCUUCAUUUUCUUGUUUCUGUUGUAGCCCGUUUCUGUCUCAAGCUAUAGAUUACUUGAGCAGUAUAAAAACAACAACAAUUAGACCAGCUCCAGUACUUACAUAACUACUAACAUAACAAUAGCCACUUUCACCUUUACAGCCACCAACAGCACAAGCGUCUUGCUUUGUUUUCCUUCCCAGCUUCUGUAUUAUGUAAGUAAAAGGUUUCUUCUGUUUUGGGCUGACUUUGCUAAAUUAGUUGGUCACUAACACUUGAAGGAAAUCAGUGGUUCUGUGGAUUGCAUUCAAAUCAGUGGAUGAUAUAUUUGUUGUGUUCAGGAUCUCUAUAAGGUUAGUUUGUGUUUGGUUCAUAUUUAUGUAUCUUGUAGAUAUGUCUGUGUAUUUAGUUUUAUGAAUUAGAUGCAUUAAGGUAAUGCAUUGAUUGGUAAUUAUACAUAUUAUAUAUAUAUAUCUAUAUCUGUCAAACUGAAAAUAGUUUAAACAUAAACUAGUACUUCAUAAUAAGUAUACAUGUUAUCUCGAUAUCUUCAGAUAUUCUAUACCUUCCCUCUUAAUUUGUUAAACACUUUAGUUAAACCUAAACUAAAUCUAUAAUCAAAUUUAACUAUUAAUCACUACUUAAAUACCAUCUAACUACAUGUGUGAAUGCAGUAUGUAUGUAUGUAGAUUAUGAUUGAAUGGAUACAUAUGAAAAGGUAAUUUUACAUGUUCUUAAUUUUAUUGGCCAUUUCCUAUUUCUUAUGCGGCCUUAUUGUUUUAAUUUUUCUAGAAUAUGGCAAUCGAUGUUACCAUGCCCGUGAUCUGCCAAUGCUAACAUAGUUGCCAGCUCAUUGCCACACAGUGAGUUCAGAAACAACAAGCGUAUGUGCAAAUAUAGUCAGCUGUCAACUCACACCCCAGUAGCCUGUUCUGUGUUUGCUGCCCUAACCGGAGCCUUCCCGCUACUACAUAACGUGUUAUGAAAGAAUACCUUAUAGUUUUAGAGAUAUGGUUCAGACGAACACACCACUAUGAAAAGAGUCAAAGUCAAACUUGUUGCCAUGGAAACAAGAUUUUUUUUAAACUCCUUGAUAGCAAAAGGCACAACUUCAGCCCUUGAUUAAUACGUGUAGGAUCAAAACCGCGUCCGAGGCCGAAAGGCCCGACCCCCUUUCCCGAGGCCAAGGGCAAGGGCAUACUUCCCAAACAAAACCGAGGGCAAGUUUUUGAUCUCACUUAUGAACUGAUCAAAUAAUAUGAUUUAGAAAUAAUUUUACUGAUUGGUAUUAACAUGACUUCAUUGAUAUUUACUGUUGAGAGUUUAACUGCAAUACGCGGGGAGUACAUCCGCGCGCAUCACGUGCUUCAGGCCCGUUGUAACAAUGAGCGCAUGUGGUUCAAGCAAAUCGAAUGAAUUCCACUGAAGAGGAUGGACGCAGACAACAACGAUAUAUUUCUGACGCAGUCAGUUUUUAAAGAAUCGGCAUCCUGUGCUGAAGAAGACAAAGAAAGUGAUGACUUUAAAUUCCGUUUAGGAGAUCCACUCUCCGAGCGUGAAAUAGCCUUACAAGUGCAAGACGUCCGGUAUUGAGGGCAUGAAGACAAACCAUUCCUUGAGAGCCACGGCAGCCACUCGACUGUAUCAAGGUGACGUUGAUGAACAAAUGAUUUGCGAAAAUACCGGACAUCGGAGCGACGCCGUAUGUUGAAAAAAAUAACUCGCCAUCACGUGAAGAAGCUAAUCCGAAAAGAGCAGAUGACCAAUGACCUGAAGACAAACAAAAUCGAACUGUGACGCUCAAUUUCAAUUUCAUCUAAUAUCAAUAAAUAGUUGAGCCAU
Molecule: long non-coding RNA, 2045 nt
Filed under: Haliotis rufescens (red abalone)
Lineage: Eukaryota; Metazoa; Mollusca; Gastropoda; Lepetellida; Haliotidae
Description: uncharacterized LOC124136482, transcript variant X2
Source: RNAcentral